Molecule: ribosomal RNA, 497 nt
Filed under: uncultured bacterium
Lineage: Bacteria
Description: partial 16S ribosomal RNA
Rfam family: Bacterial small subunit ribosomal RNA
Source: RNAcentral
GACGAACGCUGGCGGCGUGCCUAAUACAUGCAAGUUGAGCGCUGAAGGUUGGUACUUGUACCAACUGGAUGAGCCGCGAACGGGUGAGUAACGCGUGGGGAAUCUGCCUUUGAGCGGGGGACAACAUUUGGAAACGAAUGCUAAUACCGCAUAAAAACUUUAAACACAUGUUUUAAGUUUGAAAGAUGCAAUUGCAUCACUCAAAGAUGAUCCCGCGUUGUAUUAGCUAGUUGGUGAGGUAAAGGCUCACCAAGGCGAUGAUACAUAGCCGACCUGAGAGGGUGAUCGGCCACAUUGGGACUGAGACACGGCCCAAACUCCUACGGGAGGCAGCAGUAGGGAAUCUUCGGCAAUGGACGAAAGUCUGACCGAGCAACGCCGCGUGAGUGAAGAAGGUUUUCGGAUCGUAAAACUCUGUUGGUAGAGAAGAACGUUGGUGAGAGUGGAAAGCUCAUCAAGUGACGGUAACUACCCAGAAAGGGACGGCUAACUACGUG